Molecule: non-coding RNA, 46 nt
Organism: Trichobilharzia regenti
Lineage: Eukaryota; Metazoa; Platyhelminthes; Trematoda; Strigeidida; Schistosomatidae
Source: Rfam
GUACUGUUGAGGAGUCUCAAACUAGGACGAAACAGCUGUUCAGUAC